GGAAGGCCCUUGGGUUGUAAACCUCUUUUCUCAGGGAAGAAGAUCUGACGGUACCUGAGGAAUAAGCAUCGGCUAACUCCGUGCCAGCAGCCGCGGUAAUACGGAGGAUGCAAGCGUUAUCCGGAAUUAUUGGGCGUAAAGCGUCCGCAGGUGGUCUUUCAAGUCUGCUGUCAAAGACCAGAGCUUAACUCUGGGCAGGCGGUGGAAACUGAGAGACUAGAGUUCGGUAGGGGUAGCGGGAAUUCCCAGUGUAGCGGUGAAAUGCGUAGAUAUUGGGAAGAACAUCGGUGGCGAAGGCGUGUU
RNAcentral lists this ribosomal RNA (303 nucleotides) under uncultured cyanobacterium. RNAcentral's name for it is "bacterial SSU rRNA". It matches the Rfam family "Bacterial small subunit ribosomal RNA", at positions 409 to 727 of the family's 1533-position model. Lineage: Bacteria; Bacillati; Cyanobacteriota. The record is from RNAcentral.